This 454-nucleotide ribosomal RNA is filed under the name Clostridioides difficile. RNAcentral describes it as "bacterial LSU rRNA". It matches the Rfam family "Bacterial large subunit ribosomal RNA", at positions 2415 to 2871 of the family's 2925-position model. Lineage: Bacteria; Bacillati; Bacillota; Clostridia; Peptostreptococcales; Peptostreptococcaceae. The record is from RNAcentral.
GUGACCCGGUGUGGCGGCGUGGAGGGGCCACCGCUCCACGUAUAAUAGCGACCGGGGGGGUACCAGGCUUAUCGCCCCCAAGCGUGCAGAUCGACGGGGAGGUGUGGCAGCUCGAGGGGGGCCCAUCACCUCCUGUGGCGGUAGUAGUGCCCAAGGGUUGGCGUGUUCGGUCAUGAAAUUGGUACGCGAGCUGGGGUCAGAACGUCGUGAGACAGUGCGGUCCCUAUCCGUCGCAGGCGUAGGAAAUUUGGGAAGACCUGUCCUUAGUACGAGAGGACCGGGAUGGACGUACCUCUGGUGUACCAGUUGUUCUGCCAAGGGCAUGGCUGGGUAGCUAUGUACGGAAUGGAUAAGCGCUGAAAGCAUCUAAGCGCGAAGCCAACUUCAAGAUAAGAUUUCCCACCGCAAGGGUAAGACCCCAGAAAGACUAUCUGGUUGAUAGGUCGAAGGUGUA